UACGGAGGGGACUAGCGUUGUUCGGAAUUACUGGGCGUAAAGCGCACGUAGGCGGUUUUGCAAGUCAGGGGUGAAAUCCCGGGGCUCAACCUCGGAACUGCCUUUGAUACUGCAAAUCUCGAGUCCGGAAGAGGUGAGUGGAAUUCCUAGUGUAGAGGUGAAAUUCGUAGAUAUUGGGAAGAACACCGGUGGCGAAGGCGGCGACCUGGUCCAUUACUGACGCUGAGGCGCGACAGCGUGGGGAGCAAACAGG
RNAcentral lists this ribosomal RNA (253 nucleotides) under uncultured bacterium. Its description in RNAcentral is "partial 16S ribosomal RNA". It matches the Rfam family "Bacterial small subunit ribosomal RNA", at positions 524 to 776 of the family's 1533-position model. The record is from RNAcentral.